Molecule: unclassified non-coding RNA, 432 nt
Filed under: soil metagenome
Description: partial contains 5.8S ribosomal RNA, internal transcribed spacer 2, and large subunit ribosomal RNA
Rfam family: 5.8S ribosomal RNA (bases 2-120)
Source: RNAcentral
UAUGAAGAACGUAGCGAAAUGCGAUACGUAAUGUGAAUUGCAGAAUUCAGUGAAUCAUCGAAUCUUUGAACGCAUAUUGCGCUCUCUGGUAUUCCGGAGAGCAUGCUUGUUUGAGUAUCAGUAAACACCUCAACUUCCAUAUCUUUUUUGAAAUGGGAGUUGGACUUGAGUGAUCCCAACGCUUUUCCUCACCGAAAAGUGGCGGGUUACUUGAAAUGCAGGUGCAGCUGGACUUUUCUCUGAGCUAUAAGCAUAUCUAUUUAGUCUGCCUAAAAACAGAUUAUUACCUUUGCUGCAGCUAACAUAAAGGAGAUUAGUUCUUGUGCUGACUGAUGCAGGAUUCACAAAGACAGGCUUCGGCCGACUUUGUAAACUCGAUCUCAAAUCAAGUAAGACUACCCGCUGAACUUAAGCAUAUCAAUAAGCGGAGGA